CAGUAGCCACGGUAAUACGAAGGGGGCUAGCGUUGUUCGGAAUUACUGGGCGUAAAGCGCACGUAGGCGGAUCGAUCAGUCAGGGGUGAAAUCCCAGGGCUCAACCCUGGAACUGCCUUUGAUACUGGGUAUCUUGAGUAUGGAAGAGGUUAGUGGAAUUGCGAGUGUAGAGGUGAAAUUCGUAGAUAUUCGCAGGAACACCAGUGGCGAAGGCGGCUAACUGGUCCAUAACUGACGCUGAGGUGCGAAAGCGUGGGGAGCAAACAGGAUUAGAUACCCGGGUAGUCCCUGUCUCUUAUAC
This 301-nucleotide ribosomal RNA is filed under the name uncultured bacterium. Its description in RNAcentral is "partial 16S ribosomal RNA". It matches the Rfam family "Bacterial small subunit ribosomal RNA", at positions 509 to 807 of the family's 1533-position model. The record is from RNAcentral.